UAUGCUAAUACGGGAUAAUAUAUUUGAGAGGCAUCUCUUAAAUAUCAAAGGUGAGCCAGUACAGGAUGGACCCGCGUCUGAUUAGCUAGUUGGUAAGGUAACGGCUUACCAAGGCGACGAUCAGUAGCCGACCUGAGAGGGUGAUCAGCCACAUUGGAACUGAGACACGGUCCAAACUCCUACGGGAGGCAGCAGUGGGGAAUAUUGCACAAUGGGCGAAAGCCUGAUGCAGCAACGCCGCGUGAGUGAUGAAGGCCUUCGGGUCGUAAAACUCUGUCCUCAAGGAAGAUAAUGACGGUACUUGAGGAGGAAGCCCCGGCUAACUACGUGCCAGCAGCCGCGGUAAUACGUAGGGGGCUAGCGUUAUCCGGAUUUACUGGGCGUAAAGGGUGCGUAGGCGGUCUUUCAAGUCAGGAGUGAAAGGCUACGGCUCAACCGUAGUAAGCUCUUGAAACUGGGAGACUUGAGUGCAGGAGAGGAGAGUGGAAUUCCUAGUGUAGCGGUGAAAUGCGUAGAUAUUAGGAGGAACACCAGUUGCGAAGGCGGCUCUCUGGACUGUAACUGACGCUGAGGCACGAAAGCGUGGGGAGCAAACAGGAUUAGAUACCCUGGUAGUCCACGCUGUAAACGA
This 631-nucleotide ribosomal RNA is filed under the name uncultured bacterium. Its description in RNAcentral is "bacterial SSU rRNA". It matches the Rfam family "Bacterial small subunit ribosomal RNA", at positions 159 to 809 of the family's 1533-position model. The record is from RNAcentral.